CCUACGGGUGGCAGCAGUGGGGAAUAUUGCACAAUGGGGGAAACCCUGAUGCAGCGACGCCGCGUGAGUGAAGACGUAUUUCGGUAUGUAAAGCUCUUUCAGCAGGGAAAAAAAUGACGGUACCUGACCAAUAAGCCCCGGCUAACUACGUCCCGGCAGCCGCGGUAAUACGUAGGGGGCAAGCGUUAUCCGGAUUUACUGGGUGUAAAGGGGGCGUAGACGGCAGGGCAAGUCUGGAGUGAAAGGCUGGGGCUCAACCCCCGGACUGCUCUGGAAACUGGCAGGCUGGAGUGCAGGAGAGGUAAGUGGAAUUCGUAGUGUAGCGGUGAAAUGCGUAGAUAUUAGGAGGAACACCAGUGGCGAAGGCGGCUUACUGGACUGUAACUGACGUUGAGGCUCGAAAGCGUGGGGAGCAAACAGGAUUAGAUACCCGAGUAGUC
Molecule: ribosomal RNA, 440 nt
Filed under: uncultured bacterium
Lineage: Bacteria
Description: partial 16S ribosomal RNA
Rfam family: Bacterial small subunit ribosomal RNA
Source: RNAcentral